Molecule: long non-coding RNA, 1416 nt
Organism: Dama dama (fallow deer)
Lineage: Eukaryota; Metazoa; Chordata; Mammalia; Artiodactyla; Cervidae
Exons: 5
Source: RefSeq, a predicted model, not a curated record
AUUUAGUUUAUAGUCUAUGUCUGAUUCUUUCCUCUUCUCUGUGCAAAAUAAAUUUGGAGUUAAGGAGCGCUUUGCUAUGAGCGGGGAGCCUCAUUAACCACCUGACGAGGAAGAGUCUUGACUGCUGCGUCCCUCACUGAGGCUGUCUUCAGACUUUGGGCAGAGCUGCUAUUCAUGCACCUUCUAAGACCCUUGUUGGUUCUGACAAUGAGGCAACGCUGAGCAGGACAUGUGACCUGUGACCUGGUCUGGAAUCAAUAUGUUUGUCUUACUAAAAAUUAACAAAGGCAGUUCCAUACUCCUCUCGACAGUGAUUCUUAGCAUCUCAUCAACACCGUGAGCCCCCUGUCCAACGAUGAGAGACCCCGGGUGUGUGACCUGUGCCUCCUUGGAGUGAAGCCCUAAGCUACUGACCAAGUUCUGUCUACACGUAGGACGUGGAGACCCUGGUAGAGACCCGGCCUGGCCUCUGUCCUGGAAGACUCCGUGCCUGCGUCUGAAUGUCAGUGCUCAGACGUCUGGGGUCUGGAGCUGAGGUUCCACAUCCCUGGGGCUUCUGGAGACUCCUCAGGUGAGCUACCUGGUAAUUAUGCCAAUUCACCAGCACGAGCAUGGAAAGAAGGAGCAGGUUUACCUUCGCAGCUGAUUGCAGGGCACAUGAAUCAGGCAAAAAGCCAACGAGCAGCAGGUGAGGUUGCUGCUGGGCUCUCCUUCCAGUAGACUGUCCAUACUCUGCAGAGACCAGACCUGCCCCUCGUCUUCCAGCCCAGCGUCUGGCGUGUUUUCACAGCAUCUCAGCAGGACAACGAAAGGCCGAGACUGCCAGCACCAAGGCCUGUUGAUAAUUUAUGGUUUGCACCUGGUGCAACUUUAAGCAACUUCAGUAGCCGACCCUGUCUUUUUUGUGGUUAAUCUGAAGAAGGAAUUCAUAGGGCCAGGACUCCAUCUCAGGCCUGUCCGUGCUGAUCGUGCUCGGCUGCCUCUCCAGUGGACUCUGAACUCUCUGCUUAGUGCCUGUGGGAACGACAAUGGAAGGAUAAGACCCCCUCCAGACAGGGGAAUCUUGAAGAUCACAUCCAGGUUACUCAUUGCCCAAGAGGAAACAUACCGUAAUCACCCCUGUCUCCGGACAGGUCAUAAACUUUUUCUGUAUUUAUCAGGAUGUAAUCACAGGCUUAUCGAUUAUUAACUGGUUGGAACGUGAUCACAAGCUUAUUGAUUAUUAACUGUUUGGAAUGUAACUGCAGGCUUAUUGAUUAUUGACUGUUUGAACACAUAACAUGUGAAUGAUGCGGUUAUUGUAGUUGUAUUUACCCUACCUUUGUUUAUGUAAGUCUCAAGGGAAUUGGGGUGGUGGGUUUGGACACGUACACAUGGGGUAUAAAAGACUUUCACAAAUGCUGGUCGGGGUCCUUG